GAAGUGGAUGCAAUUAUUCCUGAUGCGCAGGCAGGAUAUGAAACCGCUUGGAAAACUCUCUUGCCCCUCAUGGCAGGAACAGAUGUGAUCUGUGGGACCG
Non-coding RNA from Spirochaetes bacterium DG_61, 100 nucleotides. Lineage: Bacteria; Pseudomonadati; Spirochaetota. The record is from Rfam.